UACGUAGGGGGCAAGCGUUGUCCGGAUUUAUUGGGCGUAAAGAGCUCGUAGGCGGUUUGUCGCGUCGAAUGUGAAAACCCGGGGCUCAACCCCGGGCCUGCAUUCGAUACGGGCAGACUAGAGUUCGGUAGGGGAGUCUGGAAUUCCUGGUGUAGCGGUGAAAUGCGCAGAUAUCAGGAGGAACACCGGUGGCGAAGGCGGGACUCUGGGCCGAUACUGACGCUCAUGCACGAAAGCGUGGGGAGCAAACAGG
Molecule: ribosomal RNA, 253 nt
Filed under: uncultured bacterium
Lineage: Bacteria
Description: partial 16S ribosomal RNA
Rfam family: Bacterial small subunit ribosomal RNA
Source: RNAcentral